Molecule: ribosomal RNA, 629 nt
Filed under: uncultured bacterium
Lineage: Bacteria
Description: bacterial SSU rRNA
Rfam family: Bacterial small subunit ribosomal RNA (bases 1-542)
Source: RNAcentral
CCUACGGGAGGCAGCAGUGGGGAAUUUUGGACAAUGGGCGCAAGCCUGAUCCAGCAAUGCCGCGUGCAGGAUGAAGGCCUUCGGGUUGUAAACUGCUUUUGUACGGAACGAAACGGCUUCUCCUAAUACGAGAGGCUAAUGACGGUACCGUAAGAAUAAGCACCGGCUAACUACGUGCCAGCAGCCGCGGUAAUACGUAGGGUGCAAGCGUUAAUCGGAAUUACUGGGCGUAAAGCGUGCGCAGGCGGUUAUAUAAGACAGAUGUGAAAUCCCCGGGCUCAACCUGGGACCUGCAUUUGUGACUGUAUAGCUAGAGUACGGUAGAGGGGGAUGGAAUUCCGCGUGUAGCAGUGAAAUGCGUAGAUAUGCGGAGGAACACCGAUGGCGAAGGCAAUCCCCUGGACCUGUACUGACGCUCAUGCACGAAAGCGUGGGGAGCAAACAGGAUUAGAUACCCUGGUAGUCCACGCCCUAAACGAUGUCAACUGGUUGUUGGGUCUUCACUGACUCAGUAACGAAGCUAACGCGUGAAGUUGACCGCCUGGGGAGGACGGCCGCGAGGUAGUAAACGUACGAAAGAAGUUAGACGGCGUGAGACGUAGCCGACGGACGACGACGAGGGGAGGAGG